RNAcentral lists this transfer RNA (61 nucleotides) under Hypothenemus sp. BMNH 1039866. RNAcentral's name for it is "tRNA-Cys". Lineage: Eukaryota; Metazoa; Arthropoda; Insecta; Coleoptera; Curculionidae. The record is from RNAcentral.
AAUUAUAUAUUCAAUUAUGAUUUUAAAUUGCAAAUUUAAAGGUGGCUUAGGCCUAUAGUUU